AUCAUUGACGACCAGCAGCAGCAGCGGUACCGCCUCCUGUAGGCGCAAUUUGCCCACAACACAGAGGAUCGUUUUUAUUCUGCGGUUUACUGCGGUAAAGCCCGCUUUAUAUCAUCUAUGCUACGUGUAUGAGCGCGUCUUGAACUGCUUUUUCCCCCCCAGCAUGGUCCCGAUGUGGAUCUGAAGCGGCCGGGAGAACAUUAGAGCGGACCAAGUGAGAUGCAUCCUCGGAGCGCUGAACCUGUUCCACCCCGCCGCACACAAAGCCUGUGAAGCAGGCCGUGGUUUUUUCCCUCACGCAGACACCGCGCCGAUGAUGCUCAAACAUGUCGGGGAAUCAUUACAAAGGCAACGAAGUCAGCUGCUGCAUCAAAUACUUCAUUUUUGGAUUCAACAUCCUGUUUUGGCUCCUGGGCAUGGCCUUAGUUGGAAUUGGACUGUGGGCAUGGAGUGAGAAGGGAGUCCUGUCCAACAUCUCGUCCAUCACAGACCUGGGGGGCCUGGACCCAGUCUGGCUCUUCAUGGUGGUCGGGGGGGUCAUGUUCAUUCUGGGCUUUGCAGGAUGCAUCGGUGCACUGCGGGAGAACACGUUUCUACUCAAGUUUUUCUCCGUGUUUCUGGGAAUCAUCUUUUUCUUGGAGCUGACGACGGGAAUCCUGGCAUUUGUCUUUAAGGACUGGAUUAAAGACCAGCUCAACCUGUUCAUCAACAAUAACAUUCGGGCGUACCGCGACGACAUCGAUCUACAGAACCUCAUCGACUUCACUCAGGAAUAUUGGGAGUGCUGUGGUGCGUUUGGGGCAGACGACUGGAACCUGAACAUCUAUUUUAACUGUACUGAUGGGAAUCCCAGUCGGGAAAAGUGUGGAGUUCCCUUCUCCUGCUGCACCAAGGACCCAGCGGAGGAUGUAAUAAACACUCAGUGUGGAUAUGACAUUCGAGCUAAACCAGACUCGGAGCAGAAGGACUACAUCAACGUGAAGGGCUGCGUGCCGCAGUUUGAGAAGUGGCUGCAGGACAACCUCACCUUGGUGGCCGGGAUCUUUAUUGGAGUUGCACUACUGCAGAUUUUUGGGAUUUGUUUGGCCCAAAACUUAGUGAGUGACAUCGAAGCUGUGCAGGCGAGCUGGGUGCCCCCUCCUCUCUCCAUGCGUCGCCUCCCACCACACUCCAGCAAGAAAGCAUCGGCUUACUACUCAUGAGACACAGAAACACAUGCACUGUGUGUGUUUGUAGCCGUUUCUUCACCUGAUGCUGAAGCAGCAUUUCAAUCCUAACAGCUCCGGGUCUUUGAAUGCGCCUCCUUGAACACACGGUCAGCGGAGCGUUCAGAGGACCACGUCGAUCACCGGCACCACUUUGUCCACUGAACCAGCACCUUUUUUUCAAGGCACUAAUAUGUGAAAUGCCCUGUAUAUAACACUGUGUGACUUGUUGUUGCAGAGGAUGGUUAAACAUGCACUACAUGCACGUUGUCACAAUGCUCUGGUUUUUAUAGCUACGUGUAGAGAGUAGGAGUUUUGAUACAUCUUUUUGAUAUUAGAUUGGUAUUUUUCACUGUGGAAAUAACGCUCCAUUGCUAAAACCCAUCAUGUAGGACUGUGUAAUAGUUGUGUACAAGAAACUAAGGAUUUGCUUCUUUUAAAGUGGAGUGCUUGCUUUAUGUACCUUUCCACCAUGUGUCUCGGACUGUGCAUACGGUGGCGCCAGAGAUCAGCUGAAUAGUCUCUUGAUACUAACUCAUCCAGCAUGAAAGCGGAAAUGACUACAAAUUACUCCAAUUAUUUAGCAUACUGAGUUACUAAUGGACUAAGGGGUCAGCUAAUUUAGUGUUGUUAUUAAAAAAAAGAGUUAUUGGUUGUUAUAAGUUUUCCUACUCUCAAUACUGACUGUGAAAUAAUCCCUUCGUAGCGGAAAAAAUCCAGUCCUCAUUGCGUAUAAAAAUGCUUUCCAGAGUUGGAAGCUGAAGCUAAAAUCUGGCUUUAACAGUCAGAGUUAGCCGAAUCGCUGUUUGGUCCCAGCGACUACAAAUUAGGAUUGGGCAUCAAGAACUGGUUCCAACUUGGAAUCGUUUCAAAAAUUACGAUUCCAAUGGAAUAGUUUUUUUUUAUUGGAAUCGUAUGAAAAAAUUGGUUUUGAAUCCGACUACAGUUCCAAAUUUAAAGGGUAACUACCAUUUUUUUUUUUUUUUUUUUUUCUUCAACCUGGACCCUAUGUUCCUAUGUGUUUGUGUCUAAGUGACUGAUAGGACCAACAAUCUUUGACAUUGGUCCAGUAUUAAGCGAGAUCGCUGCAGUCUGAGCACUUUAGUGAAUCCAAUCCAAUCCAAUCCACUUUAUUUAUAUAGCACGAUUUUAACAAACACAAGGUUUCCAAAGUGCUGCACAAAAGAUAAAACAAAGUAAAUAGAUAACACAAUAAAAGCAGAGGUACCCACUGUAAAAUAAAUGCAAUAAAAAACGAUUUAAAUUGAAUUAAAUAAGUAAACAUCAAUUAAAAUAUGCAAAUAUGCACAUAACGUCAACACUCUACCUGGUGUUAAAAGCCAAAGAAAAGAGGUAGGUUUUAAGAAGAGUUUUAAAAUUAGACAGAGAGGAGGCUUGUCUAAUGUGCAGAGGCAGUCUGUUCCAAAGUUUUGGAGCUGCAACGGCAAACACUCGAUCCCCUCUGAGCUUGAGCCGAGCUUUAGGCACCGUCAGCAGCUGGUCAGCUGACCUGAGAGAUGGGCUAGGAGUGUAAGGGUGCAGCAGCUCAGAGAGGUAAGGUGGGGCAAGGCCAUUCAAGGCUUUAAAAACAAAUAAAAGAAUUUAAAAAUGAAUCCUGAAAUGGACAGGCAACCAGUGGAGUGAAGCUAAAAUAGGUGAAAUGUGGUCAUACUUUCUUGUGCCAGUAAAAUGCAUUACAGUAAUCCAGCCGAGUAGUCACAAAGGCAUGGAUUACUGUCUCAAAAUCUUGUCUCUGAAGGAUUGGUUUUAUUUUUGCCAGCUGCCUUAACUGAAAAAAGCUAGACUUCACCACAGCUUUAAUCUGGCUGUCAAAUUUGAGAUCACAGUCCACUUUUACCCCCAAAUUUUUUAUAAUUGGCUUGCGAUACUGUGCUAGAGGAGUGGUAACAGAAGUAACACCAAAGACCAUGACUUCUGUCUUUUCUUCAUUAAAAUUUAGAAAAUUUAAAGACAUCCAAGCUUUAAUGUCGUGUAAACACUCUAGCAGUGGGUUAACAGAGUAGGACUCUGUCUUUUUGAGGGGGACGUAGAGCUGGCUGUCAUCAGCAUAACAGUGAAAGGAAAUCCCAUGUUUCCUAAGAAUGGAACCAAGAGGGAGUAGAUAAAUAGAAAAUAAAAGAGGGCCGAGCACAGAGCCCUGUGGGACCCCACAUGAAAGAGGAGCAGCGGAGGAUACAGAGUCAUCAAGGCCGACACAGAAAGUCCGAUGUGACAGGUAGGACUUGAACCAUUCCAGUGCUGUGCUACUGACGCCCACCCACUGCUCCAAACGAGCAAUGAGGAUAUCAUGGUCGACUGUAUCGAAUGCUGCAGUCAAAUCUAAAAGUACAAGGAUAACACAGUGACCAGAGUCAGUAGCUAAAAAGAUAUCAUUAAAAACUCUUGAUUAAUUAAUCUGCAAUGUUUUAAAACCGGAUUGGAAAAUUUCCAGGAUACUUUGUUCAUUUAAAAAGUCCAUGAGCUGGGAAUAUACAAUAAUAUACAGUAAAUACAAGCUCAACAAUUGUCC
This is an RNA transcript of Perca flavescens (yellow perch), 3735 nucleotides long. It is a transcript of the gene named tetraspanin 5a, with no coding region annotated. NCBI's taxonomy places the organism in Eukaryota, Metazoa, Chordata, Actinopteri, Perciformes, Percidae. The transcript is spliced from 11 exons. The record is from RefSeq and is a predicted model, not a curated record.